This 93-nucleotide ribosomal RNA is filed under the name Rigodium toxarion. Lineage: Eukaryota; Viridiplantae; Streptophyta; Bryopsida; Hypnales; Lembophyllaceae. The record is from RNAcentral.
UGAUGCGGUCAUACCAAGGCUACUGCACCAGACCCCAUCAGAACUCUGAAGUUAAGCGCCUUUGGGCCGGAAUAGUACUGGGAUGGGUGACCU